CAAGCACUGAGCAGCAACAGAGCAGGUUUGCAGGUUUCCCUAGGAGAUGGAGACCAGCUUGCACACUUUAAAGCUCCAGCUCUUCUCCCUCUCUUGGCCUCGCUGGCACUGGGUGUUCUGGAGAACAGAGGUGUUUCUCAAGGCUCAGGAUAUUGUAUAGGAUGGGAAAAAGCCUUUUCUGCUCUUCCCUCCCUGAUGGUUAUCUCAGAAAGCAUUACAAGGGAAAGGUUCAACAAUGGUUAUGGUAGAAGGGAAUAAACUCUGUAUAGCUCAUAAUGGCAGCCACACUUCAUUCAAACCUUUGUCUCUACACUCACUUCAAGUCAAUAAACUGUAACAGCUGGAGCUGGAGAACUGUAUU
RNAcentral lists this long non-coding RNA (361 nucleotides) under Serinus canaria (Common canary). RNAcentral's name for it is "lncRNA (ENSSCAG00000012010.1)". The record is from RNAcentral. Lineage: Eukaryota; Metazoa; Chordata; Aves; Passeriformes; Fringillidae.